CUACGGGAGGCACCAGUGGGGAAUAUUGGGCAAUGGGCGCAAGCCUGACCCAGCAACGCCGCGUGAGGGAAGAAUGUCUUCGGAUUGUAAACCUCUGUCCUUGGGGACGAAAAAAAUGACGGUACCCAAGGAGGAAGCUCCGGCUAACUACGUGCCAGCAGCCGCGGUAAUACGUAGGGAGCAAGCGUUGUCCGGAAUUAUUGGGCGUAAAGGGUGCGUAGGCGGCGCUGUAAGUCAGAUGUGAAAUCCCCGGGCUUAACUCGGGAGUUGCAUUUGAAACUACAGUGCUUGAGUAAAGAAGGGGUAAGUGGAAUUCCUAGUGUAGCGGUGGAAUGCGUAGAUAUUAGGAGGAACACCAGUGGCGAAGGCGACUUACUGGUCUUUUACUGACGCUGAGGCACGAAAGCGUGGGGAGCAAACAGGAUUAGAUACCCCAGUAGUC
RNAcentral lists this ribosomal RNA (442 nucleotides) under uncultured bacterium. Its description in RNAcentral is "partial 16S ribosomal RNA". It matches the Rfam family "Bacterial small subunit ribosomal RNA", at positions 339 to 795 of the family's 1533-position model. The record is from RNAcentral.